Molecule: long non-coding RNA, 228 nt
Filed under: Anser brachyrhynchus (Pink-footed goose)
Lineage: Eukaryota; Metazoa; Chordata; Aves; Anseriformes; Anatidae
Description: lncRNA (ENSABRG00000009308.1)
Source: RNAcentral
CAUAGCUCCAUAGAGAAGUUGGCAGUUUCGGGGUGCCCCAUAGGGCCAUGGUUUGUUUCGGGGCUCCCCAUAGGUCCAUCAAUGUGUGGUGGUUUUGGGGUGCCCCAUAGGUCCAUGGAGAAGUUGGUGGUUUUGGGGCUCCCCAUAGGUCCAUCAAUGUGUUGGCAGUUUUGGGGUACCCCAUAGAUUCUUGGACGUGUUGGUGGUUUCAGGGUGCCCCAUAGGUCC